This 773-nucleotide ribosomal RNA is filed under the name uncultured Neocallimastigales. Its description in RNAcentral is "partial large subunit ribosomal RNA". It matches the Rfam family "Eukaryotic large subunit ribosomal RNA", at positions 26 to 629 of the family's 3401-position model. The record is from RNAcentral. Lineage: Eukaryota; Fungi; Neocallimastigomycota; Neocallimastigomycetes; Neocallimastigales.
CGCAUCUGUGCAUGCAGCAUAUCAAUAAGCGGAGGAAAAGAAACUAACAAGGAUUCCCUUAGUAACGGCGAGUGAAGCGGGAAGAGCUCAAAUUUGAAAUCUUCAAGGUUUUACCUUGACGAAUUGUAGUUUAAAGAAGUGUUUUCUGUUGAAGUUUUGGUAAAAGUUCUUUGGAAUAGGACAUCAUAGAGGGUGAGAAUCCCGUAUUUGACCAUUAUUUUCAGCUGUGUGAUACACUUCAAAGAGUCGGAUUGUUUGGGAAUGCAGUCCAAAAUGGGUGGUAAAUUUCAUCUAAAGCUAAAUAUUGGCGAGAGACCGAUAGCGAACAAGUACCGUGAGGGAAAGAUGAAAAGAACUUUGAAAAGAGAGUUAAACAGUACGUGAAAUUGUCAAAAGGGAAGCGUUUGACACCAGUGUUGUUUUCUCGAAAAUCAAUUAAAAAGAGUUAGAUUUUGUUGUGUAUUGACCUUAACAGCUUGCAUUUCAAUUUUCUUGCUUUUUUUAAUGCACUUUUCGUUUAACAAGUCAACAUCAGUUUCUUUUGUUGUAAAAAGGUCAUUGGAAGGUGGCUUUCUUUUCGGAGAAAGUGUUUAUAGCCUUUGACUCCUGCAAUCGGAGAGACUGAGGUCUGCAGCGUAGAUCCUUCGGGGUUAGAUACAUUUGUGCUAAGUUAUAGCUUUUUAUAGACAACUUGUUGACUAUGAUUAGUCUUGUAGCUUACUCGCUUAUGCUAUUUUACCUACGCUUAGGAUGUUGAUGUGAUACUGCGAGCA